Molecule: long non-coding RNA, 2697 nt
Filed under: Homo sapiens (human)
Lineage: Eukaryota; Metazoa; Chordata; Mammalia; Primates; Hominidae
Description: HSALNT0169151
Source: RNAcentral
CUGCAUCACUAUAUUUACAAGUUAAAUAUUUAAAACCUCAGUCAUCUUGGAAUUAGCAAAUAUUUAGUGCCGAUAUGUUUUUUUCUUAAUUAACUCUAAACUAGCUCAAUUUAUUUCAAAUCAUAAUUAUCUCUAAAGAUUUUUAUUUAUGAGGGGAAGAGAUAUACCAAAGACUACUCCAAACUUACAGGAAUUAGAUCAGAAGUCUUACAAUUUUCUCCAAAUUUUCUUCAUGGCUGCCUCAAAGAGAAAUCAUGCUAUACUCUAUAUUUUCUGCAGUAAAGCCAAGGAUAUGGGAGGGAAAAAAAGGGGAAAGAGUCAUGGAAAGCCAGCUUCUUGCUGAAACUCCACUAGGUGCCCUGCUGGAAUCUCCCUUGAAAGAGCGGUACAAGCUGCUUCCCUGUCCUGACAAGCACAAUAAAAGGUGCAAACCUGAGGAACGUGGGGACCUCACAGAGGCAGGCGCAGCCGGCUCAUCGAGAUGUGUGGACAGCAGAAAGCGAGUGAGGCAAGAGAAAAUCAGCACAGGGUAAACAUCAGAGAUCAAAGGGCAGCAGCUGGAGUCACUGGGUGGAGAAGCAGCGCAACUGUGGCUUACCCAGGCAGCCAGGGUUCCAGGAGAUUCUUCUAGGCCAGAGCUCUGACAUAUUCACCAAACAGCUGACAACUUUGCCUUUUGCAUGGGAAAUAAGUGGAAAUGAAUCUUGGCCAUCCACCACUGGUUUCGAAAAGAUCCAGGCAAGGUCUGUGUGCACCUGCCACACAAAAAUGAAUUUCAUGUGAUUGCAACAAACAGAACAAUAGUGCAAGCAAAAUUCCUAGGAAAACUUUUGUCCAGAGGUAAUGCCAGCUGGUUGUAGCAUUGCAACUAAAGUUCAGAGAGGGACUCACUCAUUCCACAGGGCUCCAGUGGGGUUUUGGACUUACAACUGGAUGUCAUCACCUCUGCGGGUGCCUGAAUAAUGACUCUCAUAGAUUUUCAGGGUUAUACUCUGGAACAACUUGUAGUUGUUAUUAAUACCUUACAUUACAAAACGGGUUUUGCAGAUGUGAUUAAGCCUCUAUCCUGAAGAGCGUUGGACCCUGGAGCUGCUGGCCACAUCUUGAUCUGCCAUAUGUGGUCCAAGAAUGAAGUCAACACGAAGGAGAAUGAAGGUGCUGAGGGAUAAAGUUAUUGACAUUCUAGGAGCUCCUGGAUCAAACCAUGCCUGAACUCAAUUUAUCCCUUGAACUUUUCAAUUACAUGAAUAAAUCCUCCUUUUGCCUGAGUCAAUGUGGAUUAGUAUCAUUGGCAUUCAGAAGAUUCCUAAAGUCUCAGGUCUUCUGCACAUCUAUAACCAUGGCAAUUGCGGUCCUGCUCUCCUUUCCCCUCCCCUGAGCAGGCAAGCUUUCCUUCUCUAUCAUGUAAACCUCCUGGGUCAUUCAGAGUAUUUCUCAAAUGUUACCUGGAGUUUCCCAAGACUUCAGUUCUCACUGACCAUUUACUUCUUAAACUGCUAGGAUGAUAACCUAUAACUUUGCAUCUAACCAAUCCCUUAGCACUUUCCUUAGAGACUUCUUAGAGAUCUUUUUGAUGCCUAAGGGUAGGAAUCAGGGCUUCUCUAUCUUGUAUAUGCACUGCCCCCCACCCACAGGUCCAUAGAAUAACAGCUGAGGACCUGUAGCUCUACAAGGGCAGGGACUGUCAAACAUGCCAGACUGCACAUGGUAGUUACCACUAGAGGGCUCUGGGUAUGGGCAAUAAGCAGGACUUCUGCAUUUUACAUCUAUGCUAUCAUUCGAGUCUUGUAUGAGCAUUUAUUUUACAAAUCUCUAUCUUGCAAAGCAAACCCUUAGUGUGAAUAACUGAGGAGUGGUGGAUCGGCCAGCUCUUCCGUGCAGUGUUCUAAAGCCUCUUGCUCCUGUCUCUCCUGUGGGAAACCCAUAGUUACGGCUUCAAGCAGAGACCCAAGCACCACCUCAGGGUCUUGACCUUGUGUGGGAAUAAUCUAUCACCAAGAUGCAGACAGAGACAAACUGCUUCACAGAGCAUUUUAUCCCCUAGAAAAUCCCCAACCCCAGCAUCCUGGGUGCUGCCCAACCUCUUCAAAUACAAAGGCAAAUAAAAUAAAUAAAAGUAAAUAUUGUACUCAUAAGCAACAGAAUGCCUAGCAACCAAGAACAAGGGAGGGCUGGAGGAAGAAGGUUGACUUUCGCAGGCCCUUGUGUAUAAACUGCAGUAAAAGUCUUCUCUGUGUGAAUAAUAUAUUUUUGAGCGUUAAAUUAUAGAAGGUGUAAGGAAUGCUAAGGCUGAGACCCAACAGAGAGAGCUGGCCCCACCCUGAAUGGGAGGGGCAGGGGUCUCCUUGGUCUUUGUCCCUGCUGACUGGUAUUGAGGGAGGGGGAGUCUCCGCUGUAGCUUCAGGAAUGGAACACAGGGCACCAGGCCUCAGUUAAUCCCUUUAGGGACCCUUAGCCCUGAAACAAUGCUGGUGCAACCCCACAUGUAACUCAGAAGAAAAUGUUAAGUCACGAAAUAAAUGUAAGAGCUCUGAUGUUUUUCUAUAACACCCAUUUCAAUGCUUUGUUAGAAAGUAUGUACGUAAAGCACAUGACAUUGUUCUCAUUAAAUUUUUUUGUUACGAAAACUUUUAAACACACUCAGAAGAGUAGGAUUUUUGAACCUCUCAUCUGGGUACAAUAUUAUUAAAAUUCUGC